ACUGUUACGUGCGCAUCUUAGUGUGAAUGUGAAAUGGUGCGAUUGCGUGUUGAAAGAAAGAAAGAACCAAAAUGGAGGAAUAUGAACAAGAAAGUGUUUUCAGUAUUAAUAAAGAGUAAAGUAUUUAUAAACUGUGAUUUGUCGUUUUCAUGUCUAAAGAGUCUCAUCCAAUAUGAAGACGUAACAAGUGGCGCCCAACGCAAAGGUAACCCACGUAUCCCUCUAUUCACAGGGGAUCUCCUGUCAACAGACAGUAGAGAUAGUAUAGUCUAGAUCUAGAGACAGGAGAACAUUCGAUUCGAUAUUAUUAGUAAUCAACUAUGGCGGACAAGGCUGAGGUAGCAGCGUUGAAAGAAGAGGGAAGGUUGUUGGAGCUGGAAGGGGCAGAACUAAGAAAAUACGUACAAGAAAGGUUAAUGGAGAGGGAGAGAUUAGCGAUGGAAAGAGACAAAGAAAAGGAGAGAUUAGCGAUGGAAAGAGACAAAGAAAAGGAGAGAUUAGCGAUGGAAAGAGACAAAGAAAAGGAGAGAUUAGCGAUGGAAAGAGACAAAGAAAAAGAGAGAUUAGCGAUGGAAAGAGACAAAGAAAAGGAGAGAUUAGAUAAGGAGGACAAAAGAGAAAGGGAAAAAGAAAAGGAGAGAUUAGCGAUGGAAAGAGACAAAGAAAAGGAGAGAUUAGCGAUGGAAAGAGACAAAGAAAAGGAGAGAUUAGAUAAGGAGGACAAAAGAGAAAGAGAAAAGGAUAAGGAGAUAGUAGCAAUUGAAAGGGAAAAGAAAAAUGAAUUGGUCGCCAUUGAAAGAGAAAGAUUAGCAUUUGAAAAAGAGACAGCAGAGAAAAAGUUAAAAACAGACCAAGGAAAAGAGAAUGAUAAAAGAAAGAGUGACUCUACAGGGAAUAAACUGGCAAAAUAUAAAGGUUUGAUAUUCAACGAAGACAAAAUGGACAUAGACAUUUUUUUGAAGAAGUUCGAGAUAGAAAUGAGAGAACUGGAGUACCCUGAAGACAAAUGGACAUUCUUAUUGUCGAGAUCAUUUACAGCGGAGGUGCCUUCAAAAAUAUGUAUGAACCAGGGUAACUACAGCGUUGUGAAAGAACAACUACUUAGAACUUUCGGGAAAACAGAAGCUUUCUAUCGCCAACAGUUUGUUAAUUGUGAGAUAGAACCAGAGGAUGACCCGCAGACCUUCUUGGACAAAAUGAGCAGCCAUUUCGAUAACUGGAUAGAAACCGCUGAGGUAGAAAAAACCUUUGACAGUCUUAAGACAUUUCUCAUGCUGGACAAAGUGAUGUACGAGUGUCAGGAGGAAUUAAAAAUAUUUCUGUUGGAGAGGAAACCGAAAUCCAUAGAAGACAUAGUAAGACUGAUAAGGGCUUAUAAAGUGGCACAUCCCGAGAAGAAAUUAUCUAGAGGCAGUGAUAUAGAAGAAAUAGUUGCCUUUAACAGAACAUGUGAGACACAGAAUAACUCUCACAGAACAAGGGAGACACAGGAUAGACAGUAUAGAAGUGGUACAUAUGAAAGACAAAAUGAUAGCCGCAACGGAAGAUAUCAAGGAAACAGACAGGAAAGAAAGGACUGGGAGAAAGGUAGAAUAGAGCAAGGCUUAUCAUUGUCAUCUGAUACUGGAACAUUGGAGAUUUUUCAGACAUUCGUAGGGAACAAGGCAGCCAAGACCAUCAGGGAUACUGGGAGCACUAUUAUUGGAGUGAAUAAGAAUUUAGUGGAAGACCAUGAAUAUACAGGCGAAUCUAGGAAGUGUGUUAUGUUUAAUGGGAAUAUUGUACAAUUACCGAUUGCUAAAGUUAGUAUAGACACACCGUAUGUUAAGGGGACAGUGGAAGCUUGUGUUGUAGAUCAGGGUGAGAUAGAUUUAAUUAUUGGGAAUAUUCAUGGGGUGAAAAUAUGUUCAGUAAGGGAGAUUGAGAAUUGGAAGAAAUAUUAUGGGAUAAAGUCUACGCGAGGUAGAAAUGGGGAUGUGGAAGAAGACAUAAGAUCUCAUACAUCAGAUGACAUGGGUAGCAGAGAGCACGAGAAGAAAGAAUUAACAGAUAAGGUAGAAAGCAAUGCAAUAGGAAUGGGUCCAAAUCAAAGUAAAGUAAGGCAAUCAGUGGUACAGGGAAAGCGAUAUAAGCCCACAUACAGACGUACAAAUCCAUACAUCUUAUGCUUUAAUUGUGGGAAAAGGGGGCAUAUUAGAAGACAGUGUCAACAGUUAAUUAGAAUUAAGGAUUCAAGGUACAAUAGUGAAGAGGCGUAUACGAGAAAAGAGAGGGAUAUUAGCAGCCUAGAAAACAGUACAGCUAGAUCAUUAGGUAGUAGAAUCACAAUGGGACAUCAUUGCAAAGGAGGGAAGCGGAAAGGAUGGCAUGUCAAUAAUGUUAGAAUUAUAUAGAUAUGAUUAGAAAAGGUAGGAAUGAUGGACAUUAUUUAUUGUUCUAUUCUACAAUGAAUAAAUAUAUGUGUAAUGAAUUGAAUAUUGUUGUUACAAUAUGCAUGGAGCAAGAUAGACUUUGUUUGUUAACUAUUUGAUUACGACUGGAAUGAUGGUGUUUAAUACAGGCAUACAAUUAUGAGUGGGGAGUUGUAUUGAUAGAAAUAUGAUUACUUAUAGAUAAAUGUUAACAGAAGUGGUUUCAAUUGCUCAUAAUAACAGUUAUUAUUGUGAUGAAUAUAAUUGUUAUUUCAUGUUGGGAUUGUAUUGGUAUUAACAUGACAUUGUGUUUGAUUUUGUUUAGUUAUUACAUUAUGGUUUUAUAUGUUACCGAUUUUUUUAACUUGGAAUAGUCUGAUAAUAUAUUCAGUGAUUUGUAUUUUGGACGUUCGAUGUGCAUCGAACUUGUUAAACAGGGGGGGUGUUACGUGCGCAUCUUAGUGUGAAUGUGAAAUGGUGCGAUUGCGUGUUGAAAGAAAGAAAGAACCAAAAUGGAGGAAUAUGAACAAGAAAGUGUUUUCAGUAUUAAUAAAGAGUAACCUAAGUACACAGAGACAGAGAGAGAGAAAGAGAGAGAGAGAGAGGUGUAGGAGGAGUACCAAGCAGUGGUGUGAUCUGACAUUCUCCCAUCACUACUCAUCCUUGGCUGUGUGAAAAAACACUGUGUGUAACGAAAUUUGGCAUCUCAUUCUUAGGUAUUGGUUCAAUCUGUGCUGACCAAGCUUAACAGUCA
RNA transcript from Biomphalaria glabrata, 3165 nucleotides. It is a transcript of the gene named galectin-6-like, with no coding region annotated. The record is from RefSeq and is a predicted model, not a curated record. The transcript has 2 exons. NCBI's taxonomy places the organism in Eukaryota, Metazoa, Mollusca, Gastropoda, Planorbidae.